AUGCCGCGCCGGGCCACGCCGGCCGCCCGGCACUUCCCACCUCCCGCCGGCGGCGGAGCUGCGGCCGCCGCGCUGCCUGCCUGCCUUCCUCCCCUUCCUCCUCAUCCUCCUCCUCCUUCCCCCAACCCCGACAACACCGGGCCGGGGGCCCGCUUACCCGCGGGGCGAGGCGGCGGCGGCCGAAGGGGAGCUACCCCUCCUGCUGCUGCUGCUCCCACUGCUAGUACUAGCGCUGGUAGCGCUGCUGGCAGCGCUGCUGCUGCAACAAAGGACUUCCGCCCCGCCGCGCCUGCUGCUGCCGCAGCGCCGGCUCCGCCGCGACCGCACGGGGCCGGACCCCUCCCUCCCUCCCCUCGGCCCCGCCGCCGCCAGCGCUGCUGCGCCGCCGCCGACAGCGCCGGGGCCCGGCGGGCGGCUCCCGGCGGGCGGCUCCCUGCCGCGCUGCCCUCUCCUCCCAUGCCGCCGGGGAUGCUGCGGCCGGGGGCGCCCCCUCCCCAUGUGCCGCAAGCCUCGCCCCCUCCUCCCCCCUCCUCCUCCUCCUCCUCCUCCUCCCCUCGCAUGAGGCGUCCUCCCGCCCCGCAGCCCCCCCUCCCGGCCCCAAGGGCAGAGCUGGGGGAUGUCUCCACGCCGUGUCCCCAUCCCACGUCGUCCCGUCCCUCACCCCGCAGGAUGCCCAAGCUUCGCCCCCGCUUCCCCCUCCCAGGACGAGCCGCGAGGUCCCCGGGGGAUGGCCCAUGUGGGCGGCCGGAGAUGGGGUCGGGCAGCCGCGGCCUCCUCCUGCGUGGGGCAGCUUCGUUACGAGGUGGGAGGAGGGGAAAAAAAAAAAAGAAAAAAAAACAAAGAAAAAAAGCACCAAGAAAAAAAGCAACUCCAAGUUGCACGAGGAAGUAUUUGCUCUCUGCUGAAAUUUCACACGUCCAUAUCCCUGCCGCCCCACUUUAUGCAUUGAUGCAGAGAGCGCAGGAGCUGGCAGCCGCUACCACGUUUAAUCACAGAUCCCGAGCAGACCACUUUUUUUUUCUUCUUCUCUCUCUCUCCCUCUGA
Molecule: long non-coding RNA, 1044 nt
Filed under: Anser brachyrhynchus (Pink-footed goose)
Lineage: Eukaryota; Metazoa; Chordata; Aves; Anseriformes; Anatidae
Description: lncRNA (ENSABRG00000009290.1)
Source: RNAcentral